GGAGAUGUUUGUUUGUUUGUUGGUUCUCAGAGGCUGAGAAUCAGAGUUUUUGUCUGUUUCUCUUCUGAACUCUUUUCUUUCCUCUUUUUUUUCUUCUUAAUCCUCAACAUGUUUUUUUUUCUUUUCUGACUCUCACAAAAAAACCCCUCAGACCCCCCCAGACUCUGCAGUCUUCACUUCCUCAGAGCCACAGCGCCCUCCACAGGAUCAUUACAGAAACAGCACUGACGUGUGUCUGAGAGGAUGAGUUUGAGAUUAAUGAGACGCUCCGAUCUCUGGAAAUAUGAGGAGGGGAGGACGGGGACCGACAGGAGGACUGUGGAGGACAGGACCUGGAUCUGCACAUAUGGGUUCAAGAAUUGAUGACAUGUUAAGGUCUGAUUGGCUGAGAAUUGGUUUCACUCAGCCAAAGAAAUGAUAAAGAAAUGAUCAUAAAUGUUCUUCCUUUAGCUGCGGCACCCCGCUGUAGUCUGUAAUGGACUGGCCUGAGGUCUCUCUACAAACAAGCGUCUGCUGGAAGAGAGUAGGUGAGUUGUGUUUAGUCUCUUUGCUAAAGAAAUGAGGCAAAGUUAAAAAGAUGUUUGGUGUCUAGUACUAUGUCUGUGACCCUAUAUGUCCUGUUGAUGAAGUUAGGUGCUGUUCUGAGCAUUAUUUGUGGCUAUAGAGUGGCGUUUUGGUUGAGGUUUGUUUACUGCUCCUCAGACCGCUGUGUUUGUUUGGUGUUUUUGGUAUUUUUGGUCUUGUUGGGUGUUUGGUAAAUUUUUGGUGUUUUUAGUGAUUUUGGUAUUCGUAGUUUUUAGGUGAUUUAGUGUUUUGGGGUAUUUGUGGUAUUUUUGGUAUUUUUUUGUAUUUUUGGUGUUUUGGGUAAUUUUUUGUGUGUUCUUUGUAUUUUUUUGGUGUUUUUGCUUUUUUGUGAUUUUGGUGUUUUGUUUUUUGGUGUGAUUUUGGUAUUUUUGGUGAUUUUUUUUUUUAUUUUUUUAUUUUUAUUUAUUUUCUAUUUUUUGUUGUUCUUGGUAUUAAACUGUUAUCCUACCUUGCAUCUGUCUUUUCUCGUCUCCCUCGUCUGUUUGUUAGUUUCUCGUCCCUCACCCCUCAUCUUCUGUUUUUCAUCACUUCAUAAAAAAUAAAUAAAAAAUGUCUCAAACCAGACUGAGGUUAUCGUCCGACACAUAAAAGAUUAAAUCUGAUAUAAUUAGAGAUUAAUUUUCUAAAGUUUUUUAAAUAAAUGAAGAUGUGAAACUGCAGAGAGGUCAGGUUUGGUUUCUUUAUAGAGAUCGGAGUUGAAAAACUGAUGAUAAUGACUGAAUGAUAAUCUGAGAGGUUAAUGUCUGUAAUUUAAAAUUAAAUCAUAAAUGAGUUUUCUAAUCUCACUCUCUAAUCUCACUCUCUAAUCUCCUCAUUUCAGAAAAUCCUCUUCGUUCGGUGUGUAUUUUUCUCCUCCGUCUGUCACAGUUUGGAUAAAAAGUGAUGAACACAUGAAUUCAUAAACAAAUGUCCACAAACUCACAGAGACGAGGAGGAUAAAUCCGAGGUUUCAUUCAGCUCCUCAUCUCGCCGCUCGCUCGCUCGCCUCGCUCUCUCUCCUCCUGAAUUCAUAAUCCGACCUGACGCCUCUGACAUCUCCUCCUCCACCUCCUCCUGCAUCUAUAAUUAAUAGUCAGUUGUCAGGGGUUACAGGAGCAGCAUCAGCGCUGCAGAAACAGGUAGAGGUCACGGGGUCAAGUUAUCACGGCGAGGAAAAACAAGCCCGAGUGGAUCUUCUGUCAGAGCGGCCGACAGACGGGAAAACCAGGAGAGACAGGAGUUCAGGGAGGAGACGGGAGGAGAGAAGGAGGGGAGAGGGGAGAGGAGAGAUGAGAGAGGAGGAGACAGGAGGAGGUCUGACAGAUCCGGGAGGAGAGAAGGAGGAGAGGAGAGGAGAGAGGAGAGGAGACAAGGGGAGGUCUGACAGAACCGGGAGGAGAGAGAAGGGGUGAUGAGAGAGGAGAGGAGAGAAGACAAGUGAAGGAGAGAGGAGACAAGGAGACAGGAGGAGGUCUGACAGAACCAGGAGGAGAGAGAGGAGGGGAGGAACGAAGGGGAGAGGAGACAAGGAGGAGAAACGAGGGGAGAGAAGAGAGAAGAGCGGACAAGGGGAGGAGAGGAGGAGAGGAGGUCUGACAGAACAAGGAGGAGAGAGAGGAGAGAAGGGGAGAGGAGAUAAGGGGAGGAGAGGAGAGGAGGAAAGGAGAGGAGACAGGAGAUCAGAGCGACCUGGAGGAGGAAGGAAGGCUGGAGGAAGGAAGGAAGGAGGAGAAGGAAAGGAAAGAAGAGAAAGGGAUGAUGGAAAAAGGAAGCUGGAGGAAGGAAGAAAGAAAAAGUGACAAAAAAAGAAGAAAAGAAAAACUGAGGGAAUAGAAAAGAAGAAAAAUGUAGCUGAGAGGAGAGAGAGUGAAAGAAGGAAAGAAGGAAAGAAGGAAAGAGAGGAGACAUCUACUUUUAGAAAGUCUGGAAUUAUUUCAAUCCUGAAAAGUGACUUUUUAAUUUUUUUUCUGGAAACAAAUUUUUUUAAAGUCUGAAUUUUUUUUAAAGAAAACUGUAAAAAUAUAAACUAAAGUGAACUAAAGUGAGGACGUCUGAGGACAAGAGUGAAGUUUAGUGUUAGAGAGAGAAAAGUUCAGGACUUUAGAGAGAGAAGAUAAAAACUAACUGUAAAGAAACUGUGAAGACCGGAGGGACAGUGAACGCCUCAUAGAUCACACACACACACACACACACACACACACACACACACAGUCAGGGUCCUGAGGGCCGAUAGAGGAGGACGAUCUUUCAUUAGGGAGGCAACACGCCUGAUUACACUGCUCACGGCCACACACACACACACACACACACACACACACACACACACACACAUUAACUCUCUAUACAUCAGAGGACAUUCACGCUCUCUCUCCAAUCACCACCAAUCAUUGAUCAACACAGCUGAGUGUGUGUGUGUGUGUAUCUAAAGGAGACAAUGGGGGGAGGAAGGACGGAUCUCUGCUGUGAAAUGAGACAAAUGAGUGUGUCGGGGGGGUCUUUGUGUGUGUGUGUGUGUGUAUCACUACAUCAAACAGUUUAUCUCUGACUUUAAUAUUCCAGUUUAAAAUCCUCAUGAGGUUCUUUGUUUGUAUCCAGAACCAAAGACCAGCCCUGGGACCAGAUCUACUGGACCUGGGACCAGAUCUACUGGACCUGGGACCGGAUCUACUGGACCCGGACUCUUUAACUUCCUGACCCUCUUCUCUAUCAUCGGUCUUUUUCUUUUUAAAGCUGCAGAAAAACUUUGAAUAAACUCUGAGUGGAUUAAAAAAAGAUUCAGUUCUGACCUCGGGCAGAUUAUAGACCGCCGCCAUCGCCGCCGCCGCUGCCGUCCGUGUUUCUAAAUCUUCGCUGAGCCGGGUCUCAGAGCUGCAGAGGGUCCAAAUGUGGAUCAUAAAGAUCAUGAGUUCAUGUCUCUGCGUGCAGACCGGGUCGUCCAGCUCAGUUUAAUCAUUUUAACCGACUGAGAAACUGAAGUUUGAAAAAGAGAAACGAGCAGAAAAGUCGUUAUUAGGAGGUCAAAGGUCAAUAAUGAGAGAGAAGAAAGGUAGAAGGAACGCCGUCUGAUUUCACCCCUAAAAUUAAACAAUAAUAAUAAUAUUACAACAAUGGACGACGCAGAGACCGUCUGACAACAUCCGUCCUCCUCUCAGAUCACCUGUCAGCUCACCUGGACAUAAAUAAAUUAAUUAAAAAUAAAAAACUUCAAAUCAGAAUAAAAGAGAGUUUUUAAUAAA
Molecule: non-coding RNA, 3800 nt
Organism: Xyrichtys novacula (pearly razorfish)
Lineage: Eukaryota; Metazoa; Chordata; Actinopteri; Labriformes; Labridae
Source: the annotation of a GenBank genome assembly